UCAUGCCAUAAUGGCCAUAGCAGAAGUGCUCACGUCACGGCCCUGUCAGAUUUGAACAGAUCUGUAAAUUGUGCU
Molecule: ribozyme, 75 nt
Filed under: Crocodylus porosus (Australian saltwater crocodile)
Lineage: Eukaryota; Metazoa; Chordata; Crocodylia; Crocodylidae
Description: Mammalian CPEB3 ribozyme (ENSCPRG00005018067.1)
Rfam family: Mammalian CPEB3 ribozyme
About the family: The mammalian CPEB3 ribozyme is a self cleaving RNA located in the second intron of the CPEB3 gene which belongs to a family of genes regulating messenger RNA polyadenylation.
Source: Rfam by way of RNAcentral